Molecule: ribosomal RNA, 116 nt
Filed under: bacterium
Lineage: Bacteria
Source: RNAcentral
CUUGGUGACUCAAGCAAGCUGGUCACACCCGUUCCCAUUUCGAACACGGCAGUUAAGCAGCUUAUGCGCUAAUGGUAGUAUGGCUUAUGCCAUGCGAGAGUAGGCCGUCGCCAGGG